Molecule: ribosomal RNA, 497 nt
Filed under: uncultured bacterium
Lineage: Bacteria
Description: partial 16S ribosomal RNA
Rfam family: Bacterial small subunit ribosomal RNA
Source: RNAcentral
GAUGAACGCUGGCGGCGUGCCUAAUACAUGCAAGUCGAGCGAACAGAUAAGGAACUUGCUCCUGUGACGUUAGCGGCGGACGGGUGAGUAACACGUGGGUAACCUACCUAUAAGACUGGGAUAACUUCGGGAAACCGGAGCUAAUACCGGAUAACAUUUGCAACCGCAUGGUUAUAACGUGAAAGAUGGUUUUGCUAUCACUUAUAGAUGGACCCGCGCCGUAUUAGCUAGUUGGUAAGGUAACGGCUUACCAAGGCAACGAGAGAUAGCCGACCAGAGAGGGUACGAGGCGUCACUGGAACGGGAACGCGGUCCGGACUCCUACGGGAGGCAGCAGGAGGGAAUCUUCACCAAAGGGCGAAGGCCUGACGGAGCAACACCACGUGAGUGAUGAAGGGUUUCGGGUCGUAAAACUCUGUUAUUAGGGAAGAAGAAAUGUGUAAGUAACUGGGCACGUCUUGACGGUACCUAAUCAGAAAGCCACGGCUAACUACGUG